AGAGUUUGAUCCUGGCUCAGGACGAACGCUGGCGGCGUGCCUCAUACAUGCAAGUCGAACGCGAAAGUUACCCGCAAGGGUGGCUAGUAGAGUGGCGAACGGGUGAGUAACACGUGGGCAAUCUACCCUCAAGUUGUGGGAUAAUAGCUGGAAACGGCUGCUAAUACCCCUGUGGAUUCGGGAUUCCUUAGAGUUCCGAAUGGAAGGCGCUUUUCAGCAAUGGAAGGUGUCGCUCGAGGAGGAGCCCGCGGCCCAUUAGCUAGUUGGCGGGGUAACGGCCCACCAAGGCAACGAUGGGUAGCUGGUCUGAGAGGAUGAUCAGCCACACUGGAACUGAGACACGGUCCAGACUCCUACGGGAGGCAGCAGUAGGGAAUUUUGGGCAAUGGGGGAAACCCUGACCCAGCAACGCCGCGUGAGUGAAGAAGGCCCUCGGGUCGUAAAGCUCUGUCAGGUGGGAAGAAUCAAGCUUGGGUAACGCCAAGCCUUGACCACCACCAAAGGAAGCACCGGCUAACUCCGUGCCAGCAGCCGCGGUAAUACGGAGGGUGCAAGCGUUGUCCGGAAUUAUUGGGCGUAAAGGGCGUGUAGGCGGCCCAGCAAGUCUGGUGUGAAAGCCCUCGGCUUAACCGGGGAAGUGCAUGAGAUACUGCUGGGCUUGAGUGCGGGAGAGGAAGGUGGAAUUCCCAGUGUAGCGGUGAAAUGCGUAGAUAUUGGGAGGAACACCGGUUGCGAAGGCGGCCUUCUGGACCGUUACUGACGCUGAAACGCGAAAGCGUGGGGAGCAAACAGGAUUAGAU
Molecule: ribosomal RNA, 800 nt
Filed under: uncultured bacterium
Lineage: Bacteria
Description: bacterial SSU rRNA
Rfam family: Bacterial small subunit ribosomal RNA
Source: RNAcentral